UCCGGUUGAUCCUGCCGGACCCGAUCGCUAUCGGGGUAGGGCUAAGCCAUGGGAGUCGUACAUCCCGCAAGGGGUGUGGCGGACUGCUGAGUAACACGUGGUCAACCUAACCUAGGGAAGGGAAUAACCCCGGGAAACUGGGGAUAAUUCCCUAUAGCUGAGGAGUCCUGGAACGGUUCCUCGGCGAAAGCCCGCAAGGGCGCCCUAGGAUGGGACUGCGGCCCAUCAGGUAGUUGGGGGGUUAAAGGCCCUCCAAGCCGAUAACGGGUAGGGGCCCUGGGAGGGGGAGCCCCCAGAUGGGCACUGAGACAAUGGCCCAGGUCCUACGGGGCGCACCAGGCGCGCAACGUCUUCAAUGCACGAAAGUGUGAAAGCGCUACCCCGAGUGCCCCUUUGGGGCUUUUCUACGCUCUAAAAAGGCGUGGGAAUAAGCGGAGGGCAAGACUGGUGUCAGCCGCCGCGGUAAUACCAGCUCCGCGAGUGAUCGGGACUCUUAUUGGGCCUAAAGCGCCCGUAGCCGGCUCUGUAAGUCACUGCUUAAAGACCCGAGCUCAACUCGGGGAAGGGUAGUGAUACUACAGAGCUAGGGGGCGGGAGAGGUCGGGGGUACUCCUAGAGUAGGGGCGAAAUCCGUAGAUCCUAGGAGGACCACCAGUGGCGGAGGCGCCCGGCUAGAACGCGCCAGACGGUGAGGGGCGAAAGCUGGGGUAGCAAAAGGGAUUAGAUACCCCUGUAGUCCCAGCUGUAAACGAUGCGGGCUAGGUGUCACGUGAGCUUAGAGCCCACGUGGUGCCGCAGGGAAGCCUUUAAGCCCGCCGCCUGGGGAAUACGGCCGCAAGGCUGAAACUUAAAGGAAUUGGCGGGGGAGCACCACAAGGGGUGGAACCUGCGGCUCAAUUGGAGUCAACGCCUGGAAUCUUACCGGGGGAGACCGCAGAAUGACGGCCAGGCUGAUGACCUUGCCAGACUCGCGGAGAGGAGGUGCAUGGCCGUCGCCAGCUCGUGUUGUGAAAUGUCCUGUUAAGUCAGGCAACGAGCGAGACCUCUACUCCUAGUUGGUAUCUGGGCCUCCGGGCUUGGACCACACUAGGAGGACU
This 1097-nucleotide ribosomal RNA is filed under the name uncultured Sulfolobus sp. RNAcentral's name for it is "bacterial SSU rRNA". It matches the Rfam family "Archaeal small subunit ribosomal RNA", at positions 1 to 1106 of the family's 1478-position model. The record is from RNAcentral. Lineage: Archaea; Thermoproteati; Thermoproteota; Thermoprotei; Sulfolobales; Sulfolobaceae.